UAUCCUCAUAAGUUUGACAAUAAGAGAAACCAUAUAAAAUUUAAUAAUAAUUUAAAUAAUAAUAUGGUAUAAUAAAAUCGGAGGCCACGACUGUUUACUAAAAACACAAUUCAGAGCAAUGAUUAAGAUAAUAGUAUUCUGAAUGAAAUUUGCUCAAUGCCAUUAAUAUAAGAGAGGUAAUUUUAAAGUUACUAAUCGAAAAUCUGGUUAAUAGCGGUCUUAACUAUGAGGAUCCUAAGGUAGCAAAAUAAAUUGGCCAUUAAAUGUGGUCUUGUAUCAAUAAUGUAACGAUGGUCUCACUGUCUCUACAACUUGCUCAGUGAAAUUGAAUUGCGAGUGCAGAUGCUCGCU
RNAcentral lists this ribosomal RNA (351 nucleotides) under Russula sp. C353gn. RNAcentral's name for it is "LSU rRNA". It matches the Rfam family "Bacterial large subunit ribosomal RNA", at positions 1723 to 2067 of the family's 2925-position model. Lineage: Eukaryota; Fungi; Basidiomycota; Agaricomycetes; Russulales; Russulaceae. The record is from RNAcentral.